UGGUGGAGUGAUUUGUCUGGUUGAUUCCGAUAACGAACGAGACCCGAGCUCUAAAAUAGUACGCGUUUUCUCACGAAAGCGCGCGACUUCUUUUGAGGACUACCCAGGUUUACUGGGGGAAGCGUCGGUCAAUAACA
Molecule: ribosomal RNA, 137 nt
Filed under: uncultured eukaryote
Lineage: Eukaryota
Description: partial 18S ribosomal RNA
Rfam family: Eukaryotic small subunit ribosomal RNA
Source: RNAcentral